GGAAGCGCGUGAGUUUAGAAGCCACGCGGGGUUGUGGGGUGUCCCGGGAGCUCAAGGCGUGCGCUUUCUCUUUGGCCGUUCGCCGCUGAACGUCUUGUGUCCUUUCCGCCCUUUCGGGGUGGGGGAAAGCAGAGCUUCUCCACGAGCUGGGGCCCGUGAAGGAGAAGGGAGCCAGCGGGGGACUCUGGAGUGCCUGAGGGCAGGGCUGCGGCCCGGAGGAGGCGAGGAGAAGAGAGGGUUCCCGUAGGCAGGGUCCGCACGCGCUGGGAUCAGGGCUGGUCCCGAGAAGGGCCUGGGGCGGCCGCGCUAUGUUCGGGGCCCGGUGCCUGCUCCGAGCCCUGCGCUCCUGUUCCUCGGCUCCCUGCCCAAGGCACAAACCUUCAGCCAAACUGAGCGUGCGGGACGCUCUCGGGGCCCAGAACGCAAGUGGGGAGCGCGUUAAGGUCCAGGGAUGGAUUCGUUCAGUCCGAUCCCAGAAGGAAGUCUUGUUCCUGCAUGUAAAUGAUGGGUCAUCUUUGGAAAGCCUUCAGGUUGUAGCAGAUUCAAGCUUUGACAGUAGAGAACUGGCCUUUGGGAGUUCCGUGGAAGUUCAAGGGCAGCUGGUAAAAAGUUUGUCCAAAAGGCAAAAUGUGGAACUGAAGGCAGAAAAAAUUGAAGUUGUUGGAAAUUGUGAUGCCAAGGCUUUCCCUUUUAAAUAUAAAGAGAGGCAUCCUCUGGAGUAUCUGAGACAAUACCCUCACCUUAGGUGUAGGACUAAUGUUCUGGGUUCUGUACUGAGGGUUCGCAGUGAAGCCACAGCUGCUAUCCAUUCUUUCUUUAAGGACAGUGGCUUUGUGCAUAUUCAUACUCCAGUAAUCACAUCCAAUGACUGUGAGGGGGCUGGAGAACUUUUUCAAGUUACGCCUUCAAGCAAAAUAAAGGUACCUGAGGAGAAUUUCUUCAAUGUUCCUGUUUUCUUAACUGUCUCAGGACAACUUCAUCUAGAAGUGAUGUCAGGAGCUUUUACUCAAGUGUUUACCUUUGGUCCAACAUUCCGAGCAGAGAAUUCUCAGAGCCGGAGACACCUGGCAGAGUUUUAUAUGGUAGAAGCAGAGAUUUCUUUUCUUGAGAGCCUUCAAGAUCUCAUGCAGGUUAUGGAGGGCCUCUUCAAGACUACAACAAUGACAGUUCUCUCAAAUUGUCCUGAAGAUGUUGAACUCUGUCAUAAAUUCAUAGCUCCUGGCCAAAAGGACAGAUUAGAACAUAUGCUAAAAAACAACUUUCUAAUCAUUUCUUAUACUGAGGCAGUGGAGAUCUUAAAGCAGGCAUCCCAGAACUUCACCUUCACUCCAGAGUGGGGUGCUGAUCUACACACUGAACAUGAAAAGUACCUGGUGAAGCACUGUGGCGACAUACCAGUCUUUGUCAUUAAUUAUCCAUUAGCACUCAAGCCCUUCUACAUGAGGGAUAAUGAAGACAGCCCUCAGCACACAGUUGCUGCUGUUGAUCUUCUGGUUCCUGGAGUUGGAGAACUCUUUGGGGGAAGCCUCAGAGAAGAACGGUACCAUUUCUUAGAGCAGCGAUUGGCCAGGUCAGGACUGACAGAAGCCUACCAAUGGUAUCUGGACCUCCGUCAAUUUGGAUCUGUGCCACAUGGAGGUUUUGGGAUGGGAUUUGAACGCUAUCUGCAGUGCAUCUUGGGAAUUGACAAUAUCAAAGAUGUUAUCCCUUUUCCAAGAUUUACUCAUUCGUGUCUUUUGUAGCUGAAGACUGCUUAAGGAAAACCACCCUGUGCCAGAGGUACUGCACAUGAAUAUACAUACAGGAGAAUGCAUGGUUGAACUGUAGAAAUGCAGAAGUUUUCAAUAUGUAAUUGUCAUGCCAGAAGAUACAUGAAAGAUACAUGUGAUCAUGAUUUUCAUUGAAAGUUGAAGGCAUUUCAUGGAAAGAUGAACUCCAUCAAGAGGAGUUCCCAUUCUCAUUUCAAAUUUUGAAGAAGGUGGAGAAAAAUAGUUACUUUCCAUCUGGCUGUCCGCUUGCCUGCGUAAGUUGUGCUGUCGUGGGUUUGUGGGGUUUUUUUGACAGGGGGGUUGGGGGGGGAUUAGGAGGGUCUGACAAGAACUUAAUUGUGUGAGUGAUCCAUUCCAGAUCUAGACAUAGCUCUCCUACCCUCUGACCCAGCCCAGAGACUCUUAACUCUCACAGAACGGCAAAGGAAUGGUUUGACCUUUUGUCCCUCCCAAACAGAAUCUGCUAGAAGCACCCCUCUACAGUGUUAUACAUUCAUAUUCUCUAUAAAUUGAAUCUAGACAUUUCACGCAGGACUGAACAGGCAUUGAAGAUGCAACUGGUGAGAUGGAUUAACUCUACCCUUCUUUAAACCUCUUCAGGUUUUUGCAUCAGGAAACUGUAGGGUCAGAUUCCUGCCAGAAAAUGUGCUGGAUGUUUCGUGUCUUGGAAGGGGUAUUAGACGUAGAGGGAGAAGACUCUGGUUUAUGUCUGACGCUCUACUUACCAGCUGUGGAACCUUGAGCAAGUUAUUUUAUCUCUGAGUUUGUAUACUUAUCUGCAAAAUGAGGAUAAUAUUUAACUUACAGAUUGUUGUGAGAAACGGCGAAGACUGUGUGAAAGGGUUUCAUAAGUUGACAACACUACACAAAUGUAAGGUCUCCUAAGGGAAUCCUUUUCAAAACUCAAAAAAAAAAUCUGUAUGAAGUAAGAUAUUUAUUACAUGUUGAAUGAAAUAUUUUAUAGCCAUAAAAAUUAUAAGAGAAAAUGUGUUGAAAAUUUUUUAAGUUGUACUUUGCAGUUACAACAGUGUAAAAGCUGUGCACAUGGACUAGAAGCAUAUGGGAAAAAAUGGAAUCAGCUGUUUCAGGACAGUGGAAUUGAGCGACUUUUCUUUAAAAAUCUCUUUGGCCUGUUCAAUUCAGUUCAGUAGACGCACUGUGCCAGGUUAAGUGCUCGAUUCUGUGAACACAGAGAAAAAUAGGAUAUGCUCCCACGUCUCAGGGACUCCCAUUUUGUAUAAUCUUUGUUAAAGUUUAUUAUGCAUAAGAAUCACCUGGGGAGCUUAUUACAAGUUCAGAUUAUCCUGAUACCACCCUAGAAAGUCUGCUCCACCCUAAAAGGUCUAGGAUGUAACAGCACACAGUUAGCAUUCUUCAAACGGUCACCCUGAGUGAUUCUAAUAUAGGUGGUUUAACUUCACACUGUGAGAAACCUUCAGUGAGGUUUUAAUGUUUUUACUGUAAAAAGUAAUAAUUAGAUCUGCUCAUUGAAGAAUUUGAUUGUUCUGUCUGGACCUUUUUUUUUAAUAUAUAUAUUUUUUUUAAUUUUA
RNA transcript from Aethalodelphis obliquidens (Pacific white-sided dolphin), 3319 nucleotides. It is a transcript of the gene named asparaginyl-tRNA synthetase 2, mitochondrial, with no coding region annotated. The record is from RefSeq and is a predicted model, not a curated record. NCBI's taxonomy places the organism in Eukaryota, Metazoa, Chordata, Mammalia, Artiodactyla, Delphinidae. The transcript is spliced from 16 exons.